Molecule: ribosomal RNA, 253 nt
Filed under: uncultured bacterium
Lineage: Bacteria
Description: partial 16S ribosomal RNA
Rfam family: Bacterial small subunit ribosomal RNA
Source: RNAcentral
UACGGAGGAGGCGGGCGUUAUCCGGAUUUACUGGGCGUAAAGCGCUUGUAGGCGGCCUUGUAAGUUGGGCGUGAAAGCUCCGGGCUUAACCCGGAGAGGCCGUCCAAUACUGCGAGGCUAGAGGGUGCCAGAGGAAGGUGGAAUUCCUGGUGUAGCGGUGAAAUGCGUAGAUAUCAGGAGGAACACCCGUGGCGAAGGCGGCCUUCUGGGGCAUUCCUGACGCUGAGAAGCGAAAGCUAGGGGAGCAAACAGG